UGUUGCCACCACAACAUAUUCUUUGGCCCCGGCAGACUCAUUAUACAUCACCCACGCUGAGUUCGUCAAGCAGUCGAUCUCCACGUCUGACAGCUGGGGUACGCAGGGAACUGGAGGCAACCAGGGACAGAGUCAGGUGACAGAUACGACGCCAGUGCCACAGUUCACAUUAGAAAGGAAGGAUGAGGGAGCGCAGGGAGCUGAGUGGAACGGCAGAAAAAGAGGAGAAGUUGAGGUAAAGACUGAAGGCCAGGUUAAGGAAGUCACAGUUGGUGUCGGUGUUGUUACACUGAGCGUUGUAGCCCAGACUGCCCCGAGCAUAGACGGUGUAAGAUGUGGCACCCAGCGCAGCAUCCCAUGUGACCACAGUGAUGCCGGUGUUGCAGUCCACCUUUGCUGUGACGUGUGUGGGAACGCAUGGAGCUGAUGGAGGACAGAAACAGGUGAUGAAGACUGCAGGGCUGGAUGGAUAGCUGGGUCCAGCCUCAUUUGAGGCAGUGACUUGGAUGGUGUGUACCUCUCCACACCCCACUGCUGAGAGGGUGCAGGAGCUGGAUGUGGUCUUACAAAUUAAG
Oreochromis niloticus (Nile tilapia) is the source of this 575-nucleotide long non-coding RNA. RefSeq lists it as uncharacterized. The transcript is spliced from 4 exons. NCBI's taxonomy places the organism in Eukaryota, Metazoa, Chordata, Actinopteri, Cichliformes, Cichlidae. The record is from RefSeq and is a predicted model, not a curated record.